AGUCUCGAAAAGGCACUCUGUCACGUGUACACAGGAAAGGGCCCUGACAAGAGGAUGGGACUGCAGUUGUGGCUGCCAGGACAAGGAGAGGGACAAAUUCCUUCUUGGCAUCCUUAUGGCCCUGUGACCUGCUAAUGAAUGCUGACUCUGAGUUGCUACUAGAAUUUGGUUUCCUUGUGGCUUCCCAGGAAUUGUGAGCCAUGUUGGAUAAGGACCUGCAAGGGAAGAAUGAGGAAGCCUGGGACAGUGCAGGAGGGGAGAGCACUGGUGGUAGAGAGGAGUGAUGACAAGGGUCUCCGCCAAAAGGGAAAUGGAGGGGUUAAAGAAGCUGCUGGGGAGGGUUAAAAACAAUGUGUUCUCACUCGUAGGUGGGAAUUGAACAAUGAGAACACUUGGACACAGGAAGGGGAACAUCACACACUGGGGCCUGUCGUGGGGUGUGGGGAGGGAGGAGGGAUAGCAUUAGGAGAUAUACCUAAUGUAAAUGAUGAGUUAAUGGGUGCAGCACACCAACAUGGCACAUGUAUACCUAUGUAACAAACCUGCACAUUGUGUACAUGUACCCUAGAACUUAAAGUAUAAUUAAAAAACAAAACAAAACAAAACAAAAACAAUGAGGUGCUAUUGUUUUAGUGGUGAGUAUCCGGAGACCUGGGAGUUCUAUUUACCAGGUAUAACCUGGGCUCAAAAUUCCAGGCUGACUUCAGGCAUGUCCUCAUCUCAUAGAUGCCAGCACUAAGGCCCAGAGAGGGCCGAGCUCAUUCAGCCCACCCAUCUUCUCACCCCUGACUGCAUUUCCCGGGGGUCCUUCUGCAGCCAGGUGCUGCUGUGGUACUUUGGGAUCUAUUGGCUGAGCUCCCAGAGAAGGGUCAUGGAUUGGGCUAGUUUGGAACAAGUGAAGGGACUGAAGAUGGGCUCAGUAUGGGGCGAAGACCUUCAGGAAGGGUCUGCAGAGUGAGUAGGGGGGUUUUGACUAGGAAAAGUUCCAACCCUGCCGGGGCCGCUGUCAAGAGAAAAGCAUCUAUUACAGUUACAUUUUUAAGUUAAGUAGACUGAAGAAUAUUUCUUGUGUAUUAAAGACGUUCCUUUUUGGUUGAUUUGCAAUGGAAAAGCUUUUGUUUUCUUUUUUUUUUUGGAAACAGGGUCUCACUCUGCUCACUCUGUCUCCCAAGCUGGAGUGCAGUGGUACAGUCACGGCUCACUGCAGCCUCCACUUCCUGGACUCAAGUGAUCUUCUCACUUCAGCCUUCUGAGUAGCUGGGACUACAGCCCCCUCUGCAGCUCUUCAUGGGGGUCCACUCAAGUCAGAAGCCACAUUUGGGUGUGAUUCAGAGAGCUGUUUAUGCAAAACCAGCUUUGUCACCAUCAGGCAAGGCACCUGAAUUCCCACCGCAGAGAGUGUUGUGGCCGUGAGGACUUUUCUGUCACCAGCCAUUUCCAGGUUGUGGUAGACCCAGUGUAAUCACAAGCAUCCUUGUAAGUGGCAAAGAGGCAGAGGAGACAGCGCCAGAGAGGCAGCUGCAUGAGAAGGAUCAAGAUGUUGCUGACUUUGAAGUUGGAAGAAGAAGGCCAUGAGCCUCAGUAUGUGGGCGGCUUCUAGAAGCUGGAAGGGGCAAGGAGAUGGAUUUGACCCUUCAGCCUCCAGGGGCAGCUGUACCUGCCAUCACUGAUUGUAGCCUGGUGAGGCCUGUUUUAGACUUCUGACCUGUAGAGCUGUAACAUAAUACAUUUGGGUUGUUUUCAACCACUAAGUUUGUGGUAAUUUGUUGUAGCAGCUGUAGAAAAUGAAUACAUAUGAAUCCUCUGGCAUUUGUUUGAGAUUUGCUCUAUGGCCUAGUAUGUGGUUGUAAAUGUUCCAUCUGUGCCUGAAAAAAUGUAUAUUUCUAAUUCAGUAGUCUCUGCUUUUUUUUUU
Molecule: long non-coding RNA, 1912 nt
Organism: Homo sapiens (human)
Lineage: Eukaryota; Metazoa; Chordata; Mammalia; Primates; Hominidae
Gene: CD27-AS1
Product: CD27 antisense RNA 1
Source: Ensembl